This 489-nucleotide ribosomal RNA is filed under the name uncultured bacterium. Its description in RNAcentral is "partial 16S ribosomal RNA". It matches the Rfam family "Bacterial small subunit ribosomal RNA", at positions 30 to 507 of the family's 1533-position model. The record is from RNAcentral.
AUUGAACGCUGGCGGCAGGCCUAACACAUGCAAGUCGAACGGUAACAGGAAGAAGCUUGCUUCUUUGCUGACGAGUGGCGGACGGGUGAGUAAUGUCUGGGAAACUGCCUGAUGGAGGGGGAUAACUACUGGAAACGGUAGCUAAUACCGCAUAACGUCGCAAGACCAAAAGGGGGACCUUCGGGCCUCUUGCCAUCGGAUGUGCCCAGAUGGGAUUAGCUAGUAGGUGGGGUAACGGCUCACCUAGGCGACGAUCCCUAGCUGGUCUGAGAGGAUGACCAGCCACACUGGAACUGAGACACGGUCCAGACUCCUACGGGAGGCAGCAGUGGGGAAUAUUGCACAAUGGGCGCAAGCCUGAUGCAGCCAUGCCGCGUGUAUGAAGAAGGCCUUCGGGUUGUAAAGUACUUUCAGCGGGGAGGAAGGGAGUAAAGUUAAUACCUUGGCUCAUUGACGUUACCCGCAGAAGAAGCACCGGCUAACUCCGUG